GACGAACGCUGGCGGCGUGCUUAACACAUGCAAGUCGAGCGGUAAGGCCCUUCGGGGUACACGAGCGGCGAACGGGUGAGUAACACGUGAGUAAUCUGCCCAUCACUUCGGGAUAACUCCGGGAAACCGGUUCUAAUACCGAAUAUGACCACUUCAGGCAUCUGAUGGUGGUGGAAAGUUCCGGCGGUGAUGGAUGAGCUCGCGGCCUAUCAGCUUGUUGGUGGGGUAGUGGCCUACCAAGGCUUCGACGGGUAGCCGGCCUGAGAGGGUGACCGGCCACACUGGGACUGAGACACGGCCCAGACUCCUACGGGAGGCAGCAGUGGGGAAUAUUGGACAAUGGGCGAAAGCCUGAUCCAGCAACGCCGCGUGAGGGAUGACGGCCUUCGGGUUGUAAACCUCUUUCAGCAGGGACGAAGCGCAAGUGACGGUACCUGCAGAAGAGGCACCGGCCAACUACGUG
Molecule: ribosomal RNA, 463 nt
Filed under: uncultured bacterium
Lineage: Bacteria
Description: partial 16S ribosomal RNA
Rfam family: Bacterial small subunit ribosomal RNA
Source: RNAcentral